GCCUCCUUAGUGCAGGAGGCAGCAUGUCAGUCUCAUAAUCUGAAGGUUCUGAGUUCAAAUCUCAGAGGAGGCA
Canis lupus familiaris (dog) is the source of this 73-nucleotide non-coding RNA. The record is from Rfam. NCBI's taxonomy places the organism in Eukaryota, Metazoa, Chordata, Mammalia, Carnivora, Canidae.